Molecule: non-coding RNA, 81 nt
Filed under: Candidatus Egerieousia excrementavium
Lineage: Bacteria; Pseudomonadati; Bacteroidota; Bacteroidia; Bacteroidales
Description: TPP riboswitch (THI element)
Rfam family: TPP riboswitch aptamer (THI element) (bases 3-73)
About the family: Vitamin B(1) in its active form thiamin pyrophosphate (TPP) is an essential coenzyme that is synthesised by coupling of pyrimidine and thiazole moieties in bacteria.
Source: RNAcentral
ACUGCUGGGGGUGCCUUUCGGCUGAGAUUAUACCCUUUAAACCUGAUGCGGUCAGUACCGCCGUAGGGAAGCGAAGUUCAA